AGCCUGCUUCCUCCGGUAGCCAAGGAUGACUUGCCUAUAUUUGCUCCUUCAGAAGUCCUGGUUAAUUACAUGCCAGGUUUCAGAUGAGUUUGGCGAUAGGCAGUCACCUUGGCUAGCCUGAGUGGCUCU
This 129-nucleotide microRNA precursor is filed under the name Brachypodium distachyon (stiff brome). Lineage: Eukaryota; Viridiplantae; Streptophyta; Magnoliopsida; Poales; Poaceae. The record is from RNAcentral.